Molecule: ribosomal RNA, 779 nt
Filed under: uncultured bacterium
Lineage: Bacteria
Description: bacterial SSU rRNA
Rfam family: Bacterial small subunit ribosomal RNA
Source: RNAcentral
AGAGUUUGAUCCUGGCUCAGAACGUACGCUGGCGGCACGCCUAACACAUGCAAGUCGAACGAAGUAGCAAUACUUAGUGGCAGACGGGUGAGUAACAUGUGGGUAUCUACCCUUUGGCCUGGAAUAACACGAGGAAACUUGUGCUAAUACCGGAUAAGUCUUUACGGAGAAAGCUUUAUGCACCAUUGGAGGAGCCCGCACUUGAUUAGUUUGUUGGUAGGGUAAUGGCCUACCAAGACUAUGAUCAAUAGCUGAUUUGAGAGGAUGAUCAGCCACAUUGGGACUGAGACACGGCCCAAACUCCUACGGGAGGCAGCAGUGGGGAAUCUUGCACAAUGGAGGAAACUCUGAUGCAGCGAUGCCGCGUGAGUGAAGAAGGCCUUUGGGUUGUAAAGCUCUUUCGUCGGGGAAGAAAAUGACUGUACCCGAAUAAGAAGGUCCGGCUAACUUCGUGCCAGCAGCCGCGGUAAUACGAAGGGACCUAGCGUAGUUCGGAAUUACUGGGCUUAAAGAGUUCGUAGGUGGUUGAAAAAGUUGGUGGUGAAAUCCCAGAGCUUAACUCUGGAACUGCCAUCAAAACUUUUCAGCUAGAGUAUGAUAGAGGAAAGCAGAAUUUCUAGUGUAGAGGUGAAAUUCGUAGAUAUUAGAAAGAAUACCCAUUGCGAAGGCAGCUUUCUGGAUCAUUACUGACACUGAGGAACGAAAGCAUGGGUAGCGAAGAGGAUUAGAUACCCUCGUAGUCCAUGCCCUAAACGAUGUGUGUUAGACGUUGGAAAAUU